UAUAAGUUUAUAGGCACAGAGGCCAUUGAUCACAUUCUAUAACAAAGAAUUCGGGUAUAUGAAGAAACAUAGGCCUAGAAAUGUAAGGAGAGACUCGAAGUCAAUCCUCGAACCUGAGUGACUAGCAUUCAGAGAGUUAUCUAGGUCUACAAAAGGUGCACAGGUGGAGAUAUAAAGAUGACAAGCGUGCACAUGCUCUCAAGAGGGCCAGCAGCAACUCAUCAGAUUUAUUUCAAUAAUGAUCCUUCCGCAGGUUCACCUACGGAAA
RNAcentral lists this unclassified non-coding RNA (268 nucleotides) under uncultured fungus. RNAcentral's name for it is "sequence contains ITS1". Lineage: Eukaryota; Fungi. The record is from RNAcentral.